This is an RNA transcript of Pelmatolapia mariae (spotted tilapia), 1844 nucleotides long. It is a transcript of the gene named hepatitis A virus cellular receptor 2 homolog, with no coding region annotated. Lineage: Eukaryota; Metazoa; Chordata; Actinopteri; Cichliformes; Cichlidae. The record is from RefSeq and is a predicted model, not a curated record. The transcript has 2 exons.
GAGGUUUAAAAGUCCUACGCGGGGGAAAUGUGACGUCAGAGAAGGGGCGGGGUUUCUGGAACCUUCUAAAGCGGAGCAGGCCUGGUCCUCUCCCGGUCCUACUUCUUCUACGUCGUCUGGAUAUCCUCGUUAAACUUUCUAACGAUACAGAGUUUGCGCUCGGAAGUUGUUUCUACCGUCUCUUUAAGGACUGAGUCCAGGAAAACAUCAUAGCUGUGUCCAAACAGAAGACCAUUCUGACAUGUCUAGUUGCAAACAACAAGACUUACACAGUUAUAGAGUGGAAAAAAGAUGGCCUGGGAGAAGAACAUGUCCUUUUGUAUCAGAAUGGACACUUUAAACCAGAGAACUAUCAUCCAUCUUUUAGGAACCGGGUGUCUCUGCAGGAGACACUGAUGAAGGACGGAGACGUGUCUUUGAUUCUGAACAAUGUGUCGACUGCUGAAAGUGGAACAUAUGAGUGUCGGGUCUACAUGAAAGGAACAGGCUCAUGGAAAUCCAUCAGCAUCAACCUGAGUGUUGUUGAUCCUCCAGGUGAGUGAGUAGAGUUGAGUGUGUGUGUGAUCAGAGGUGAAGCUGCUUCCUGGUUGUUGAUGUUUGUUUCUAAAGAUGUUGUUGAUGAGACUUUGUAGAAAGCAGCUGGUCUGAGUGAUGUGAUCAGAGUGCAGUAGAUAAUGUCUGACAGCAGUUUGAAGAGGAAAUGGAUUCUGUUCUGUUCUUCACUCAUCACCUACCUGACAGCUGACACCUCACACCUGUUUCUCACCUGCAGGUCAGACAGGAGGAGACACAGAGGAUAGAGGGAAGGAGGAUGGAGGGAAGAAGGAUGGAGGGAAGAAGGAUGGAGGGAAGGAGGAUGGAGGGAAGGAGGAUGGAUCUGUUGGACUGAAAGUUGGUCUUCCUGUUGGCCUUAUUGUUGCUGCUGUUGUUGGUGGUGGUGUUUUUUUAAUCUACAGGAAACUUAAAGCACAGAAGCAGGGUUCAUACCAGGUUCCAGCUGAACAGCAGCCUGUUUGAAAUGUUAAAAUAUGAUUUUCACAAGUUUUUAAAUGUUAUUUUUGUUUGGUGCAAAACGUCGACAAACAGUCCAACAGAGAAACAGAGUCAGGAUUCAGGAUUCGCCUCCUUGAACUGUCUCAGAGGGUUUCCAGCUGAUCUGAGUCUCCUGCUGCUGUUCCAGCUUCUCAGAGCAGAGACAGACGAGGACAUGCUGCAUUUGUUGUUCAGCAUCUUUGUGAACGAUUUCAUCACGUUGUGUUGAACAACUUUAAAGAUGGAUUCAUUCCAAAAGAAGAUUGAACUACUGUCUUACAUUUCCUUCUUUUUCUUUGGUUUGCUUGAAUUUCAGACGUGUCCUGUUUCUACUGAGUGUAGCUGUUAGCUCGUGACCUCCUGCUGAGCUGAAGCCUCAGACUGUUUCUGUAGCUUAAAUAGACGAGACAUCUAUAAUAUAUAUUUGUAUAAAUUAAAUUACACGGAGCUUUUAUUUAUUUCUGUUUAUUUAUACACUUUUAAAAUUAUUCCUGGUACAGAUUUUAUUAUUUUGUUAUUAUUGAUGAAAAAAUGAGUGGGUUUUUGUAUAGAUGAUUUUUUUUUCCCUAAAAAAAUAUUUUCUGACCUGUAUCCCAAAACGUUGGUUCUGUUCAUCUGGACGUAGCUUGUAUAUGUCCUGUUUAUAAGGUUGGGGAAACCUGCAGCCAGCUGAGACUGAAGAAGUCACUUGGAUGUUUCUCCCACUGAAAACAUCACGUCCAGAUGAGCAGAGUCAAGUUUUUGGAGAUUUACUUAACUGGAUGAUUGAACCUGCAUCAAGGCCCUUUCUCAACUGUUGAUCCUGUUUUUGU